UACGUAGGGUGCAAGCGUUGUCCGGAAUUAUUGGGCGUAAAGAGCUCGUAGGCGGUUUGUCGCGUCUGCUGUGAAAACCCGAGGCUCAACCUCGGGCCUGCAGUGGGUACGGGCAGACUAGAGUGCGGUAGGGGAGAUUGGAAUUCCCGGUGUAGCGGUGAAAUGCGCAGAUAUCGGGAGGAACACCAGUGGCGAAGGCGGUUCUCUGGGCCUUACCUGACGCUGAGGAGCGAAAGCGUGGGGAGCGAACAGG
This 253-nucleotide ribosomal RNA is filed under the name uncultured bacterium. Its description in RNAcentral is "partial 16S ribosomal RNA". It matches the Rfam family "Bacterial small subunit ribosomal RNA", at positions 524 to 776 of the family's 1533-position model. The record is from RNAcentral.